This 450-nucleotide ribosomal RNA is filed under the name Streptomyces beijiangensis. RNAcentral describes it as "bacterial SSU rRNA". It matches the Rfam family "Bacterial small subunit ribosomal RNA", at positions 1019 to 1456 of the family's 1533-position model. The record is from RNAcentral. Lineage: Bacteria; Bacillati; Actinomycetota; Actinomycetes; Kitasatosporales; Streptomycetaceae.
AUUGUGGUACGGGUGACAGGUGGUGCAUGGCUGUCGUCAGACUCGUGUCGUGAGAUGUUGGGUUAAGUCCCGCAACGAGCGCAACCCUUGUUCUGUGUUGCCAGCAUGCCCUUCGGGGUGAUGGGGACUCACAGGAGACUGCCGGGGUCAACUCGGAGGAAGGUGGGGACGACGUCAAGUCAUCAUGCCCCUUAUGUCUUGGGCUGCACACGUGCUACAAUGGCCGGUACAAAGAGCUGCGAAGCCGCGAGGCGGAGCGAAUCUCAAAAAGCCGGUCUCAGUUCGGAUUGGGGUCUGCAACUCGACCCCAUGAAGUCGGAGUUGCUAGUAAUCGCAGAUCAGCAUUGCUGCGGUGAAUACGUUCCCGGGCAGUGUACACACCGCCCGUCACGUCACGAAAGUCGGUAACACCCGAAGCCGGUGGCCCAACCCCUUGUGGGAGGGAGCUGU